This 484-nucleotide ribosomal RNA is filed under the name uncultured bacterium. RNAcentral describes it as "partial 16S ribosomal RNA". It matches the Rfam family "Bacterial small subunit ribosomal RNA", at positions 30 to 507 of the family's 1533-position model. The record is from RNAcentral.
AUUGAACGCUGGCGGCAGGCCUAACACAUGCAAGUCGAGCGGAUGAAGGGAGCUUGCUCCUGGAUUCAGCGGCGGACGGGUGAGUAAUGCCUAGGAAUCUGCCUGUUAGUGGGGGAUAACGUCCGGAAACGGGCGCUAAUACCGCAUACGUCCUGAGGGGGAAAUUGGGGGAUCUUCGGACCUCCCGCUAUCAGAUGAGCCUAGGUCGGAUUAGCUAGUUGGUGGGGUAAAGGCCUACCAAGGCGACGAUCCGUAACUGGUCUGAGAGGAUGAUCAGUCACACUGGAACUGAGACACGGUCCAGACUCCUACGGGAGGCAGCAGUGGGGAAUAUUGGACAAUGGGCGAAAGCCUGAUCCAGCCAUGCCGCGUGUGUGAAGAAGGUCUUCGGAUUGUAAAGCACUUUAAGUUGGGAGGAAGGGCAGUAAGUUAAUACCUUGCUGUUUUGACGUUACCAACAGAAUAAGCACCGGCUAACUUCGUG